RNAcentral lists this ribosomal RNA (369 nucleotides) under uncultured bacterium. RNAcentral's name for it is "bacterial SSU rRNA". It matches the Rfam family "Bacterial small subunit ribosomal RNA", at positions 527 to 896 of the family's 1533-position model. The record is from RNAcentral.
GUAGGGUGCGAGCGUUAAUCGGAAUUACUGGGCGUAAAGCGUGCGUAGGCGGUUCGUUAAGUUCGUCGUGAAAGCCCCGGGCUCAACCUGGGAAUGGCGAUGGAAACUGGCGGGCUGGAGUCUGGCAGAGGGGGGUGGAAUUCCGCGUGUAGCAGUGAAAUGCGUAGAGAUGCGGAGGAACACCGAUGGCGAAGGCAGCCCCCUGGGCCAAGACUGACGCUCAGGCACGAAAGCGUGGGGAGCAAACAGGAUUAGAUACCCUGGUAGUCCACGCCCUAAACGAUGCUCACUAGGUGUUGGGGAAGCGAUUCCUUGGUACCGUAGCUAACGCGUGAAGUGAGCCGCCUGGGGAGUACGGCCGCAAGGUUG